Molecule: ribosomal RNA, 247 nt
Filed under: uncultured Actinomycetes bacterium
Lineage: Bacteria; Bacillati; Actinomycetota; Actinomycetes
Description: uncultured actinobacterium partial 16S ribosomal RNA
Rfam family: Bacterial small subunit ribosomal RNA
Source: RNAcentral
GACGAACGCUGGCGGCGUGCUUAACACAUGCAAGUCGAGCGAGGCCCUCCUUCGGGGGGUUCCCUAGCGGCGAACGGGUGAGUAACACGUGGGCAACCUGCCCUCAGCUCUGGGAUAACUCCAAGAAAUUGGUGCUAAUACCGGAUGUGACCGCUGACCGCAUGGUCUGGUGGUGGAAAGAUUCAUCGGCUGAGGAUGGGCCCGCGGCCUAUCAGCUUGUUGGUGGGGUAAUGGCCCACCAAGGCGA